AGAGUUUGAUCCUGGCUCAGGAUAAACGACUGGCGGCGCACAUAAGACAUGCAAGUCGAACGAAUUAACCUUUAGUUUACUAUUGGAGCGGUUAGUGGCGGACUGGUGAGUAACACGUAAGCAACUUACCUAUCAGAGGGGAACAACAGUUAGAAAUGACUGCUAAUACCGCAUAUGCCAUGAGUAUCACAUGAUACAAAUGGGAAAGGAGCAAUCCGCUGAUAGAUAGGCUUGCGUCUGAUUAGAUAGUUGGUGGGGUAAUGGCCUACCAAGUCAACGAUCAGUAGCCGAACUGAGAGGUUGAACGGCCACAUUGGGACUGAGAUACGGCCCAGACUCCUACGGGAGGCAGUAGUCGGGAAUAUUGCGCAAUGGAGGAAACUCUGACGCAGUGACGCCGCGUGCAGGAAGAAGGUUUUCGGAUUGUAAACUGCUUUAGACAGGGAAGAAAAAAGACAGUACCUGUAGAAUAAGCUCCGGCUAACUACGUG
RNAcentral lists this ribosomal RNA (491 nucleotides) under uncultured bacterium. Its description in RNAcentral is "bacterial SSU rRNA". It matches the Rfam family "Bacterial small subunit ribosomal RNA", at positions 8 to 507 of the family's 1533-position model. The record is from RNAcentral.